This is a long non-coding RNA of Peromyscus eremicus (cactus mouse), 438 nucleotides long. RefSeq lists it as uncharacterized. The transcript is spliced from 3 exons. NCBI's taxonomy places the organism in Eukaryota, Metazoa, Chordata, Mammalia, Rodentia, Cricetidae. The record is from RefSeq and is a predicted model, not a curated record.
CGUCACAGAAUGGCCUCCGACACCCUGGGAGCCCCUGACGUGUCGGGGAGGAGCCCGGUGCGGGGGUACGCGGAGUGGAGCUCAGGGCUGCGGAAGGGAGCAGAGCUGAACGGCUGGGCGGGCCUGGCCAGGCCAGCGGAGCGGAGACGUCGGCCGAGCGGCGGCGAACAUGCGCUUUUGACACGUUGGCGGCUUUCUUGACCAUGGAUGGUGAAGAUAUACCAGAUUUUUCAAGUUUAAAGGAGGAAACUGCUUAUUGGAAGGAACUUUCCUUGAAGUAUAAGCAAAGCUUCCAGGAAGCUCGGGAUGAGCUAGUUGAAUUCCAGGAAGGAAGCAGAGAAUUAGAAGCAGAGUUGGAGGCACAGUUAGUACAGGCUGAGCAGAGAAACAGAGACCUGCAAGCUGAUAACCAAAGACUGAAAUAUGAAGUGGAGGCGU